UGACUCCCGCGGGAGAGGCAGAUACCGCGAGACUUGCACAAGCGCGCCCGAGAAGGCGGCGAGGCGGGUCCCCGGCCACGGCCGCGUUCCGCGCAUGCGCAGAGGGCUGCCCUGGCCCUUUUCCCGCGGGCUGUGGGGUUUCUAAGGGGAGGCCGGAAGAGGAGUUGCGGAGGAAAGAAGUAAUGAAGUGAAAAACACACAGGAGCUUGUUCAAGUUCAACUCUUGGAUCUGGAAAUGUGAAGUGACAAUACUGAGAAAAGUAGUGACCAUAAUCUGCUAACUUCAGCUUCGGUGGAGCCACAUUUCAAAAAGAAAGAAAGACAUGCUUACACUGCAGGAGCAGAGUGGUCUCCUUUUGGAGGACAACACGGGUCAGUAUGCCGGCAGCCCCAUAGAAACCCAGAGUCUCCUAAAAUUUGGAGCUCUUCUUCUCCGGUGCAACCCACUGCGUGCAAACUCUUUUUGCCUCACGUGGGAAAGACUCCCAUCCAUCCCACCUAAAAUUCAUUCACCCAAGGUCCCUCAAAGUCUCAGUCCUUUAGAGUAUCAAGUCUCAUCAAGUCAAAAGCCUCCUAUCUAGUAUUUAAAUCAUCUAAGUUGUGUAAGAGUGCAGCCCUGGUUAUAUUCCAUUUGGGGAAAAAUUAUCUGUGAACCUGUGACACUAGAAAGCAAGGUCUGUGUUCCAGAGCAGUAGAGGCUCUCAGCCUGUUUCCUGCCUGUAGAGUUUUAGGAGCCUGCUAGCCUUCCAUUUCAUGUCUCUCUCGCUCUCGCUCUCUCUUGCUCUCUGGCUCUCUCCUUCUCUCUCUGGCUCUCUCACUCUCCCACUCUCAUUCCAUAUAGUUUUUCUGGUGGUAGCUUCCCCAAAAACUUUGUGGGACCAUUAGAAAAUAUGCUCGGUGGGGCUGAUGUGACAGCAGGUUGAGCUGCUGCUUGUUAUGCUGGCAUCCCAUAUUGGAGCACCGAUUUGAGUCCUGGAGGCUCUGCUUUUGAUCCAGCUCCCUUCUAGUGUGCCUGGGAAAGUAGUAAAGGGUGGUUCAAGUGUUUGGACCCCAGCUACCCGUAUGGGAGGCCUGCAUGGUGCUCCUGGCUUUGGGCAGGCCCAACCCCAACUAUUGUGACUAUUUUGGGAGCCACCAGAUGGAGAUCUCUCUCUCUCUCUCUCUUUAUCUCUCUCUCUCUCACUCACUCUGCCUUUUAAAUAAAUACAUAAAUUGUUUAAAAAACAAAAGUGGCCGGCGCUGCGGCUCACUAGGCUAAUCCUCCGCCUUGCGGCGCCGGCACACCGGGUUCUAGUCCCGGUCGGGGCACCGGAUUCUGUCCCGGUUGCCCCUCUUCCAGGCCAGCUCUCUGCUGUGGCCAGGGAGUGCAGUGGAGGAUGGCCCAAGUACUUGGGCCCUGCACCCCAUGGGAGACCAGGAUAAGUACCUGGCUUCUGCCAUCGGAUCAGCGCGGUGCGCCAGCCGCAGCGUGCUGGCCAUGGCGGCCAUUGGAGGGUGAACCAACGGCAAAAGGAAGACCUUUCUCUCUGUCUCUCUCUCACUGUCCACUCUGCCUGUCAAAAAAUAAAAAAAUAAAAAAUAAAAAACAAAAGUUGCUCCUCCACGGAUCUUUCACAGAUAAGGGAAUAGUCUCAUCUCUGCUCUGGCUUAUGCUUAGAUGGCUAAGGGGACCCAUGAAUCACAUACCUCUCCAAAGCACCCUAUGUGUAUUGAGUAUUCUAAAAUUUUCUAUUUCUCAUGCACCAGGAAAAGCCUGUCUACAUUUAAAAGUAGUUAGCAUUUUUACAUUUUACAACAUUUAAAACAACAGCAAAAUCUGUAAAAGAUGCAUGUCUAGCUGCAUUGUUGGCUUUCCUCACAGUAGAUUUUUGGCAAUCUGAAGAAGCUGACAGUUUCAUAAAUCAUAAAAUUCUUUUUCCAUUUUGCAAUAAUUAUCUGUAUAUCUAUUUCACAUUUUAAAAAAAGCAACAAGAGGGCCAGCACUAUGGCACAGUGGGUUAACACCCUGGCCUGAAGCACCAGCAUCCCAUAUAGGUGCCCGUUCUAGUCCCCACUGCUCCUCUUCCAAUCCAGCUCUCUGUUAU
Molecule: non-coding RNA, 2084 nt
Organism: Oryctolagus cuniculus (rabbit)
Lineage: Eukaryota; Metazoa; Chordata; Mammalia; Lagomorpha; Leporidae
Source: RefSeq, a predicted model, not a curated record